Long non-coding RNA from Silurus meridionalis, 625 nucleotides. RefSeq lists it as uncharacterized. The transcript is spliced from 3 exons. The record is from RefSeq and is a predicted model, not a curated record. Lineage: Eukaryota; Metazoa; Chordata; Actinopteri; Siluriformes; Siluridae.
UGAUGAGAAUUAAUGAAGAAUUGUGUUUUUUAAGCGGUUUGAUGAAGAUUGUCAGUGUUGAUGUGGUUUGAUGAUGGAAGCUGGUGUUUUGUGUUGUUUGAUUCAGAAUGAUAGUGUUUGAUGGUGUUUGAUAAAUGAUGAUGAGGUUUGAUGAAGAAUGAUGGUGUUUCAUGGGUUUAAACAAGGAUGAUGGUAUCUGGGUGUAGUUUGAUGAAGUAUAAUGGGGUUAAUGGAGUUUGAUGAAGGAUGGUGGUGUUUGAUGAAGGAUGAUGGUGUUUGUUGGGGUUUGAUAAAGGUAGUAAAGUUACUAGUUUAGGCGUUUGAUGAAGAAGUUUGAUGCCUCACAAUAAUUAUUUACUUUAAAUGGAAAAAUAGAAUUUAACAGUUUUCUUAGUGAUUAGAAUGAGUAUUUUUUCAUUCCUCUCUUUCUCACUCUUUCUUUCUCUGUAUAUGAACAGGCCGGCAGAGAUCCACAGGGGUCCUCAGCUAGCUGCUAAACGCUAACAAUUUGUCUCCAAACUGUUUCGUCUGGACGGCAGCCAUCUCGGUGUAAUGAGGAGUUUUUAAAGACGGUUGUGUUAUAACCAGAAGAACUUGUGUGAGAUGAAGAACGGAAGAGAAGAUG